UACGUAGGGUGCAAGCGUUAUCCGGAUUUAUUGGGCGUAAAGGGCUCGUAGGCGGUUCGUCGCGUCCGGUGUGAAAGUCCAUCGCUUAACGGUGGAUCCGCGCCGGGUACGGGCGGGCUUGAGUGCGGUAGGGGAGACUGGAAUUCCCGGUGUAACGGUGGAAUGUGUAGAUAUCAGGAGGAACACCGGCGGCGAAGGCGGCUUACUGGACGGCAACUGACGUUGAGGCCCGAAAGCGUGGGGAGCGAACAGG
Molecule: ribosomal RNA, 253 nt
Filed under: uncultured Bifidobacterium sp.
Lineage: Bacteria; Bacillati; Actinomycetota; Actinomycetes; Bifidobacteriales; Bifidobacteriaceae
Description: partial 16S ribosomal RNA
Rfam family: Bacterial small subunit ribosomal RNA
Source: RNAcentral